AGCAGCCGCGGUAAUUCCAGCUCCAAUAGCGUAUAUUAAAGUUGUUGCAGUUAAAAAGCUCGUAGUUGAAUUUCGAGAUCAAAUUGUUGGUCGUGCCUUGGUACGCACUAGCAUUAUUGGUUUCUCCCUUCUGACGAACCAUGAUGUCAUUAAUUUGGUGUCUUGGGGGAAUCAGGACUGUUACUUUGAAAAAAUUAGAGUGUUUAAAGCAGGCUCACGCUUGAAUACAUUAGCAUGGAAUAAUGAAAUAGGACGUUUGAUUCUAUUUUGUUGGUUUCUAGGAUCGACGUAAUGAUUAAUAGGGAUAGUUGGGGGGCAUUAGUAUUCAAUUGUCAGAGGUGAAAUUCUUGGAUUUAUUGAAGACUAACUACUGCGAAAGCAUUUUGCCAAGGAUGUUUUCAUUAAUCAAGAACGAAAGUUAGGGGAUCGAAGACGAUCAGAUACCGUCGUAGUCUUAACCAUAAACUAUGCCGACUAGGGAUCGGAUGGUGUUAAUUUUUUUCAAUGACUCAUUCGGCGC
RNAcentral lists this ribosomal RNA (520 nucleotides) under uncultured Glomus. RNAcentral describes it as "SSU rRNA". It matches the Rfam family "Eukaryotic small subunit ribosomal RNA", at positions 569 to 1086 of the family's 1831-position model. Lineage: Eukaryota; Fungi; Glomeromycota; Glomeromycetes; Glomerales; Glomeraceae. The record is from RNAcentral.